Molecule: ribosomal RNA, 635 nt
Filed under: Triticum aestivum (bread wheat)
Lineage: Eukaryota; Viridiplantae; Streptophyta; Magnoliopsida; Poales; Poaceae
Description: partial small subunit ribosomal RNA
Source: RNAcentral
GUCGCGAGAUUUUGGCGGACGAGGGCAGCCACCGCGCGCUUGCGUGAAACAUUUUUCUUUUGUCUAUCCCCUCCUCCACGAGCGUCCUCUGUCGCGUGCCCAUGGCAAUCGGCCGGCGGUGCCCUCGGAUGCCUCCGCCAUUGGAGCAGCACCACCCACGAUCGCGCUCUUCUUGGCCCUCGGCCAUGGCCUUGCUCCUCAGGACGAGGCGAGCCACGGCCCCAUCCUUUCCAGGUGACGCCCUUCUCGCUGCAUGGUGACCGACAGCGGCGGCAGCGCACACCAAACAACGGCGGUAGUGCACACCACAGACUGCUUGGCGCUCGGCCAUGGCUUCUCCCUCCAUCAAUACCCCUCUUUCUCCUUGCCUCCCUCCCCCUCUCUCUCUCUCCUGGCGGAGUGUUGUGACCAUGGCUUGUUGGGAACAGGGCCCGGUAGUGGGGAACGAGAAUUACCAGAGAUGUUCUAGCGAACAAGAAUCACGAGGGAGAAGACUUUCGUGGUGAGGAACAAGAAGAUCUCUGGUGGUGGGGAACGAUAGCUUGCCUAUCUAUUCUCUCUCUCUGUAUGUGACAUUUUUUACCUCUAGUUUUCUCUGCAGAUUGCACAUAUGAACACUACUGGUAACAUUGAGC